UGUAUAUGUAUAUAUUUAUGUGCAAAUUCACUUCAUGUUAUGUCAAGUAAUGUGUAUAUAUGUGUUUCUAAAAGAUAAACUAUGAUGUUCAUUAAGGAAGGGCAAGUCGAAAAACUUGCAAAGUGUGUACAAGAGAUCCAAAAUGCAUAAUGCACCUCUUGUGUCUGUUUUGGUGCUACAAGUAUCAUUUUAGGGGUUGUCAAUACUGCACCUGCAUUUAUUAUAUGCAAAAUGCAUGGCCCUAAUCAUCACUCUAGCUUAAUUAUUGCGUAGAUUCAAAGUUUCAUCUUUCAGACUUUAUGUUGACUAUACAUAAACUCCAGGCUGCAUGAUCAUGUUUUUUAAUUAUCGGCCUGAGCUUGAUCACCACUUUCAGUUGGAAUCUGGAUUGACGUGCCAUCUUCACUGUAUAGUACACAAAUCUCUAUGGUGCUGGCGGCAGCAUCUGUAAAGGCUUUGGGCAUGGAGGUGGUGGACGACAAGGCUCUCUAACUAGUCGUUUGUUCAAAAAACUUGGCUUCAUGAAAAAAUGUGAUCAUUA
Molecule: long non-coding RNA, 541 nt
Filed under: Carica papaya (papaya)
Lineage: Eukaryota; Viridiplantae; Streptophyta; Magnoliopsida; Brassicales; Caricaceae
Description: long non-coding RNA (CPAP_LNC016339)
Source: RNAcentral